This 3862-nucleotide long non-coding RNA is filed under the name Salvia miltiorrhiza (redroot sage). RNAcentral describes it as "long non-coding RNA (SMIL_LNC006289)". The record is from RNAcentral. Lineage: Eukaryota; Viridiplantae; Streptophyta; Magnoliopsida; Lamiales; Lamiaceae.
CAACACAAAAUAAUGCAACUUAUAAAAAAGCGAAUGUCACAAUACUAAAACAGGGGAUGUAACAGAUUAUCAGUCAUACUAGGUUUCUGAUGCACCAAACACGAACACGAACACGAACGCGAACGCAUGCUCGUCAGGCGGACUCUGCUGACCGAUCAUUAGGUUGAUCGUCGACUAACCAUCGGUUAAGCCGUUGUCGGGCUACGGAGACCUAAAAGGCCAGAAAACGAAAAUAUGAAUUUCGUGGAAAUGAGGACUAAAGAUGGAAAUUAAGAGGCUUACCUGUUUUUCCCAAUCAGUUCUCUCAGUUAUGAUCAUCAGCAUUAUAGUUUGAAUCAAAGUGCCUAUCAGCAUUCCAAUCCAGACCCCCUGACCAUACACAAAUUUGAUGACAAGACACAUUAUGGUUAGGGUUAGCAUUUUUAAAAAUAAACCAAGUUGAGGUCAUUCUUCAAAAAAGGUUCCAAAUUUCGAGUUAUAGUAAGGGGGUCUAGAAACUGACCUCUACAUGUAAUUUCAUGACAUAACCAAGCAAAACUCCAACAGGAAUUCCUAUAAAGUAGUAGCAUCCAAGAUUAACAUACACAACCACACUCUGCCAACCUGCCCCAAUCGCCACUCCUGUUUAGGAUCACAACACUAAUCUCUCAGACCACUGUUAAGGAUGUCUCGUUGCUCUAGCGAAUGGUGCGGAGUUGCAGCAAAGAAGCAAGACAUAGAUUAGGCCUCACUCACCAGAAAGAACUGGCUGGAUACUAUUCAUGAGGAUGGAGAAUGCCAGCAGAGGCGAGAGGCGAGCAACCUCAGCAGCCACAUCAUGAUCCUGGUGAAUAUAUAAGCCAGGCGUGUGCGAAGACUAGGAAGAGCGCCAACAGCACGACGCCCUAUGGUCAUUGAAGUCAGCACUAUGUUCACAAUGGAGAACUUUGCAGCCUUGGAAUCACCCUUCCCAAGCUCGUUUGACACGCGUACGCUGUGGGAAGAUAAUGGGAUCAAUCAAGACUGAUCAUGUAGGCUUAUAGCACUUGGUUUUAUCUAGCUACCAUACCUUGCUGCAGCCAAGAAUCCUAGAGAUAUCAUCAUUUCCCAGCCAUUGAUGUUGAGACUGCGCGAAAUUGAAUUUAUUACAUUCUAACUUUUGUCAAUUAGAUUAACAACUCCUNAAAUAAACUGAAAAUUCGAAAAUAAAUAAAUAAAUAAAAAUCUGGAAAAUUAUUUUUUUAGAAAAUAAAUAAACUUAAAGUUAGAAAAUAAAUAAAUAAACUGAAAAUUUAGAAAAAUAAAUAAACUGGAAAUAAAUAAAUAGACUGAAAAUUUGAAAAUAAAUAAAUAAACAAACUGAAAAAUUACAAGAAAAAUAAAUAAAAAUGGAAAUUAAAUAAAUAAAAUUAAACUAAAAAAUUCGAAAAAUAAAUAAAUAAACUGAAAAUUCAGAAAAUAAAUAAACUGAAAAUAAAUAAAUAAAUAAAUAAACUGGAAAUAGAUAAAUGAAUAAAUAAACUGGAAUUAAAAAUUUUCAGAAAAUAAAUAAAUAAAUAAACUGAAAAUUGAAAAAUAAAUAAACUGAAAAAUUCGAAAAUAAAUAAAUAAACUGAAAAUUCAAAAAAUAAAUAAACUGGAAAUAAAUAAAUAAAUAAACUGGAAUUAAAAUAAAUAGAAAAUAAAUAAAUAAAUAAACUAAAAACUGAAAAAUAAAUAAACUGGAAAUAAAUAAAUAAACUGAAAAUUCGAAAAUAAAUAAACUGGAAUUAAUAAAUAAUAAACUGAAAUUCGAAAUAAUAAUAAUAUUAAAAUCUGGAAAAUGAUAUUUUUAGAAAAUAAAUAAACUGGAAUUAAAUAAAUAAAUAAACUAAAAAAUACGAAAAUAAAUAAAUAAAAAUCUGGAAAAUUAUUAUUUUUAGAAAAUAAAUAAACUGAAAAUAAAGAAAAAUAAAUAAAAUAAACUAAAAAUUCAGAAAAUAAAUAAAUAAAAAAACAGAAAAUAAAAAAUAAAUAAACUGAAAAUUCAAAAAUAAAUAAACUGAAAAUUCAGAAAAUAAAUAAACCGAAAUUAAAAUUUUCAGAAAAUAAAUAAAUAAAUAAACUAAAAACUGGAAAAAAAAAUAGAAAAUAAAUAAACUGAAAAUUAAAAAAAUAAAUAAAUAUACUGAAAAUUCCGAAAAUAAAUAAAUUGGAAAAUAAAUAAACUAAAAAUUUAAAAUAUCCUACUCCAUUUAAUUAACAUCAAAAUUAGAUUAAGUAGACAAGUAAUGGUAGAGUGUGGUGGGUCCAAUUGGUAAAGUGUAGUAAUUUAAAAAGUAAGGGGAGGGUAUAUGUGUCCAAAAAGCAGAGUAGGUAGUUAAUUGGUGGACAAAAUUUUAGAGGCAAAUGGGUAGUUGAUUGGUGGACGGAGGGAGUAGUUUUUAGUACCAUUACGGAGAACGAAAUUUUAUUGGUUCAAUUUAGAUCUCUUUAAUUUAAAAAAAGCAUAAAAAAUAAUUUUAGAAUGAAUACGUUAUGGUAAUUUAAAGUUAUUUUUGUUUUUUUCUUUCCUCUUUACUCUAUUUAAGUGUUUUUUUCCUCCUUAAUGACAUGUUUACUUUAUAUAUAUUUAUUAUAUUUAUUUAAUUUCUUUUCAUAUCUUUCUUUUGUGUUUUUAAAGGGAAAAUAAGUAAAUAUCAUAUUUUAUGUUAUACAUAUUUUUUUUAAUUGUUAUAGUUUAGAAUGUAAUAGAGGUAAAGAAAAAUAUAUUGGUUCAUUUUAUUACUCUUUUUUAAAAAAAUAUUUUUUGUAUUAAUUUAAUUAUAACUUUGUAGAUGAAUAAUUAGUAUAUAUAUUAAAGUAUAAUUUUAAAUUAAAUUUUUAUUUAUGUUUGUGUAUGAAAAAUAUUUAUUUAUUUAUCUAUUUAUUAUGAUGCGUAAUACUUUAUAAUAAUAAUAAUGUGUAAUGCUAGUUUUUCAUUAUAAAAUACUAAUUUUCAAUUGUUUAAUAACUAUAAUUAUUAUUAAUUUUAAACAAAGUUGAAAAUUUACGUUUUCAAAUUUAGAUUGAGUAAUUAGCGUGGAUAAUUUAUUUUAGUUUUUAAAACAUAUUAUACAUUUGCUUAUAUUUUAAUUAUACUUAACAUUAAUAUUUAUUUAUUUAAAUAUAUUAUUUAAUUUUAAUGUUUGUCGUGCAUUGCACGGAUGAACAUACUAGUUAACCGUAAAUUAGAGUUACAGAAAGAAAAUGUGACGGUUGGCUCAUAAAAAUUAAACAUUUCACUGUUUUAGAUCCCGUUUCUUCUACGUAAAAUAGAUAUCUGCGUCGUUUACUUAUUAUUUGAAUGUCGUGUGAGUUGGUCUCACCCUAUAAGAUGAAUAAUUAUAACAUCAACAAAAAUCCAAAUGGUGAAAGUAACACUUCUUCUACCAUGUACAAGUAUCUUUUGUCUUCUCAAUUAUAGAAACAACAUGACAUAUUGAUAAUGCAUGUGGCAUCUUGAAAAGAGAUAUACAACUUACCUUGAACGACAAACGUGACAAUUCAGGUGCUGACUGCUGAUGUGAGUUGAAAUUAAUACAAUGGUUAUGGAAAAUCACCAAAACAUAUCUGAUCACAUCAAGAAUGAGCUGGCCAUUCUCUAAAUCAACACAAAAUAAUGCAACUUAUAAAAAAGCGAAUGUCACAAUACUAAAACAGGGGAUGUAACAGAUUAUCAGUCAUACUAGGUUUCUGAUGCACCAAACACGAACACGAACACGAACGCGAACGCAUGCUCGUCAGGCGGACUCUGCUGACCGAUCAUUAGGUUGAUCGUCGACUAACCAUCGGUUAAGCCGUUGUCGGGCUACGGAGACCUAAAAGGCCAGAAAACGAGAAAUAUGAAUUUCGUGGAAAUGAG